AGCAGCCGCGGUAAUUCCAGCUCCAAUAGCGUAUAUUAAAGUUGUUGCAGUUAAAAAAGCUCGUAGUUGAAUUUCGGGAUCAAUAUGUCGGUCGUGCCUCGGUACGUACUGGCGUAAUUGGUUUCUCCCUUCUGAAGAACUUCGAUGUCAUUAAUUUGGUGUCGUGUGGAAUCAGGACUGUUACUUUGAAAAAAUUAGAGUGUUUAAAGCAAGCUCGCGCUUGAAUACAUUAGCAUGGAAUAAUGAAAUAGGACGUUUGAUUCUAUUUUGUUGGUUUCUAGGAUCGACGUAAUGAUUAAUAGGGAUAGUUGGGGGCAUUAGUAUUCAAUUGUCAGAGGUGAAAUUCUUGGAUUUAUUGAAGACUAACUACUGCGAAAGCAUUUGCCAAGGAUGUUUUCAUUAAUCAAGAACGAAAGUUAGGGGAUCGAAGACGAUCAGAUACCGUCGUAGUCUUAACCAUAAACUAUGCCGACUAGGGAUCGGAUGAUGUUAAUUUUUAAUGACUCAUUCGGCGCCUUAA
Molecule: ribosomal RNA, 520 nt
Filed under: uncultured Glomus
Lineage: Eukaryota; Fungi; Glomeromycota; Glomeromycetes; Glomerales; Glomeraceae
Description: SSU rRNA
Rfam family: Eukaryotic small subunit ribosomal RNA
Source: RNAcentral